ACUGGGACUGAGACACUGCCCAGACUCCUACGGGAGGCUGCAGUCGAGAAUCUUUUGCAAUGCCCGCAAGGGUGACAAUGCGACGCCGCGUGAGCGAUGAAGGCCUUCGGGUUGUAAAGCUCUGUCAGCUGGGAUGAAGGAACAGCGGUUAAUACCCGCUGUUAUUGACGGUACCAGCAAAGGAAGCCACGGCUAACUCCGUGCCAGCAGCCGCGGUAAUACGGAGGUGGCAAGCGUUGUUCGGAUUUACUGGGUGUAAAGGACAUGUAGGCGUCUUUUUAAGUCGGGUGUGAAAUCCCAUGGCUCAACCAUGGAACUGCAUUCGAUACUGAUAAGAUUGAGUACGAGAGGGGUAAGCGGAAUUCCGGAAGUAAGGGUGAAAUCUGUAGAUAUCCGGAGGAACACCAUUAGCGAAGGCGGCUUACUGGCUCGAUACUGACGCUGAAAUGUGAAAGCUAGGGGAGCAAACAGGAUUAGAUACCCUGGUAGUCCUAGCUGUAAACGAUGGGCACUAGGUGCUGGCUUGUGAAAGUCAGUGUCGCAGCUAACGCGUUAAGUGCCCCACCUGGGGACUACGGUCGCAAGGCAAAAACUCAAAGGAAUUGACGGGGACCCGCACAAGCGGUGGAGCAUGUGGUUUAAUUCGAUGCUACGCGAGGAACCUUACCUGGGCUUGACAUGUAUGAAGUAGGAACCUGAAAGGGUAACUACCUGUUUAAGUCAGGAACAUACACAGGUGCUGCAUGGCUGUCGUCAGCUCGUGUCGUGAGAUGUUGGGUUAAGUCCCGCAACGAGCGCAACCAUCGUCCUAUGUUGCUAAUCAUAGCUUGCUAUGAAGAACUCUUAGGAGACUGCCAGUUUUUUAACUGGAGGAAGGAGGAGAUGACGUCAAGUCAGUAUGGCCCUUACGCCCAGGGCGACACACGUGCUACAAUGGUCGGUACAAAGGGUUGCAAUACCGCGAGGUGGAGCCAAUCUCAAAAAGCCGGCCUCAGUUCGGAUCGGAGGCUGCAAUUCGCCUCCGUGAAGCUGGAAUCGCUAGUAACCGCAGAUCAGCCAUGCUGCGGUGAAUACGUUCCCGGGUCUUGUACACACCGCCUGUCAAGUCACCUGAGUUGAGUGCACCCGAAGCCAUUAGCUUAACCUUUUGGAGAGCGAUGUCGAAGGUAUGCUUGGCGAGGAGGACUAAGUCAAAACAAGGUA
RNAcentral lists this ribosomal RNA (1203 nucleotides) under metagenome. RNAcentral describes it as "bacterial SSU rRNA". It matches the Rfam family "Bacterial small subunit ribosomal RNA", at positions 312 to 1498 of the family's 1533-position model. The record is from RNAcentral.